UUUGAAUGCCGUUGGCGGCAGGCCUAACACAUGCAAGUCGAGCGGAUGAGAAGAGCUUGCUCUUCGAUUCAGCGGCGGACGGGUGAGUAAUGCCUAGGAAUCUGCCUGGUAGUGGGGGACAACGUUUCGAAAGGAACGCUAAUACCGCAUACGUCCUACGGGAGAAAGCAGGGGACCUUCGGGCCUUGCGCUAUCAGAUGAGCCUAGGUCGGAUUAGCUAGUUGGUGAGGUAAUGGCUCACCAAGGCGACGAUCCGUAACUGGUCUGAGAGGAUGAUCAGUCACACUGGAACUGAGACACGGUCCAGACUCCUACGGGAGGCAGCAGUGGGGAAUAUUGGACAAUGGGCGAAAGCCUGAUCCAGCCAUGCCGCGUGUGUGAAGAAGGUCUUCGGAUUGUAAAGCACUUUAAGGUGGGAGGAAGG
Molecule: ribosomal RNA, 424 nt
Filed under: uncultured bacterium
Lineage: Bacteria
Description: bacterial SSU rRNA
Rfam family: Bacterial small subunit ribosomal RNA
Source: RNAcentral